UGAAUACGAGACGCUAAGGCGUCGAAGUAGUGUAUAUCAGACUUCCAAGAAAAGCUUGCACUGUCAUAGAUAAAAAAUGCCUGUACCAUAACCGACACAGGUGGGUAGGUAGAGUAUACUAAGGGGCGCGAGAUAACUCUCUCUAAGGAACUCGGCAAAAUAACUCCGUAACUUCGGGAGAAGGAGUGCCUUAUUUAUAAGGUUGCAAUAACAAGAUCCAAGCAACUGUUUAUCAAAAACACAGGUCUCCGCUAAGUCGUAAGACGAUGUAUGGGGGCUGACGCCUGCCCAGUGCCAGAAGGUUAAAGAAGUUGGUUAGCAAUUGCGAAGCUGAUAACUGAAGCCCUGGUGAACGGCGGCCGUAACUAUAACGGUCCUAAGGUAGUGAAAUUCCUUGUCGGGUAAGUUCCGACCCGCACGAAAGGCGUAAUGAUUUGGAUACUGUCUCGGAGAGGGGCUCGGUGAAAUAGACUUGUCUGUGAAGAUGCGGACUACCUGCACCAGGACAGAAAGACCCUAUGAAGCUUUACUGUAACUUGAAAUUGAAAUUGGACUUUAUUCGCGCAGCAUAGGUGGGAGGCGUUGAUUAUAAUCUUGCGGGAUUAUUGGAGCCAUCAGUGAGAUACCACUCUUGUAAUGUUAGAUUUCUAACUUUGAAUCAUUAUCUGGUCAAAGAACAGUUUCAGGCGGGCAGUUUGACUGGGGCGGUCGCCUCCUAAAUGGUAACGGAGGCGUACAAAGGUUUCCUCUGAACGGUUAGAAAUCGUAUCUAGAGUGUAAAGGCAUAAGGAAGCUUGACUGUGAGACCUACAAGUCGAGCAGGGACGAAAGUCGGUCUUAGUGAUCUGACGGUACUGAGUGGAAAGGCCGUCACUCAACGGAUAAAAGUUACUCUAAGGAUAACAGGCUGAUCUCCCCCAAGAGUUCACAUCGACGGGGAGGUUUGGCACCUCGAUGUCGGCUCAUCGCAUCCUGGGGCGGUAGUACGUCCCAAGGGUUGGGCUGUUCGCCCAUGAAAGCGGUACGCGAGCUGGGUUCAGAACGUCGUGAGACAGUUCGGUCCAUAUCCGGUGUAGGCGUUAGAAUAUUGAGAGGAGCCUUCUUUAGUACGAGAGGACCGAGAAGGACAUACCUCUGGUGUACCAGUUAUCGUGCCAACGGUAAACGCUGGGUAGCUAUGUAUGGAGUGGAUAACCGCUGAAAGCAUCUAAGUGGGAAGCCCACCUCAAGAUAAGUAUUCUC
RNAcentral lists this ribosomal RNA (1242 nucleotides) under metagenome. Its description in RNAcentral is "bacterial LSU rRNA". It matches the Rfam family "Bacterial large subunit ribosomal RNA", at positions 1564 to 2815 of the family's 2925-position model. The record is from RNAcentral.